RNAcentral lists this ribosomal RNA (301 nucleotides) under uncultured bacterium. Its description in RNAcentral is "partial 16S ribosomal RNA". It matches the Rfam family "Bacterial small subunit ribosomal RNA", at positions 509 to 807 of the family's 1533-position model. The record is from RNAcentral.
CAGUCGCCGCGGUAAUACUGAGGGUGCAAGCGUUAAUCGGAUUUACUGGGCGUAAAGGGCGCGUAGGUGGUUAUGUAAGUGAGAUGUGAAAUCCCCGGGCUCAACCUGGGAACUGCAUCUUAUACUGCGUAGCUGGAGUGCAGUAGAGGGUAGUGGAAUUUCCGGUGUAGCGGUGAAAUGCGUAGAUAUCGGAAGGAACACCAGUGGCGAAGGCGGCUACCUGGACUGACACUGACACUGAGGCGCGAAAGCGUGGGGAGCAAACAGGAUUAGAUACCCCCGUAGUCCCUGUCUCUUAUAC